AGGGCACCACCAGGAGUGGAGCCUGCGGCUUAAUUUGACUCAACACGGGGAAACUCACCCGGCCCGGACACCGUAAGGAUUGACAGAUUGAGAGCUCUUUCUUGAUUCGGUGGUUGGUGGUGCAUGGCCGUUCUUAGUUGGUGGAGCGAUUUGUCUGGUUUAUUCCGAUAACGAACGAGACUCUGGCCUACUAAAUAGUGACAGGAUUAUUACUGUCUUGGAUACUUCUUAGAGGGACAAGUGGUUUUCAGCCACACGAAAUUGAGCAAUAACAGGUCUGUGAUGCCCUUAGAUGUCCGGGGCUGCACGCGCGCUACACUGAAGGAAUCAGCGUGCUAAAACCAUUGUCGAAAGGCAUUGGUAAACCCAUUAAAAUCCUACGUGAUUGGGAUCGGGAAUUGCAAUUAUUUCCCUUGAACGAGGAAUUCCCAGUAAGUGUGGGUCAUAAGCUCGCGUUGAUUACGUCCCUGCCCUUUGUACACACCGCCCGUCGCUGCCCGGGACUGAGCCGUUUCGAGA
This 519-nucleotide ribosomal RNA is filed under the name uncultured eukaryote. RNAcentral's name for it is "SSU rRNA". It matches the Rfam family "Eukaryotic small subunit ribosomal RNA", at positions 1161 to 1704 of the family's 1831-position model. The record is from RNAcentral.